Molecule: long non-coding RNA, 341 nt
Filed under: Mytilus galloprovincialis (Mediterranean mussel)
Lineage: Eukaryota; Metazoa; Mollusca; Bivalvia; Mytilida; Mytilidae
Source: RNAcentral
GCCUAAAACCUUUUACCAACGCGACAGCAACCAAACGACACAAAUUAAUAAAAGACAUAUAGAGCGCAACUUCCAGUCAAACAACGCCAGUAAGCAGAGAAAACAUAACACAUGUGAUCGUUAGAAAGGCACAUUUAAUAAUGAUCGUGAGGCGGUAAACAGUAAAGGGAAAUAACCCAUCAAUCAUACAUGUAUAAUCAUGACACAUGGAGUAAGGGAGAUAAUACAGAUUAAUACAUGUGACAAUCAAUACAAUACAUUGGCGCAACUUCUUUUCUCCUUUAAGUCUCUCUCUCUCUCUCUCUUUACAAUUGUCAACUAAUAAUCUCUGUUAUUAUAAG